CGGCGGGUGCUAACGUCCGUCGUGAAGAGGGAAACAACCCAGACCGCCAGCUAAGGUCCCAAAGUCAUGGUUAAGUGGGAAACGAUGUGGGAAGGCCCAGACAGCCAGGAUGUUGGCUUAGAAGCAGCCAUCAUUUAAAGAAAGCGUAAUAGCUCACUGGUCGAGUCGGCCUGCGCGGAAGAUGUAACGGGGCUAAACCAUG
Molecule: ribosomal RNA, 202 nt
Filed under: Escherichia coli
Lineage: Bacteria; Pseudomonadati; Pseudomonadota; Gammaproteobacteria; Enterobacterales; Enterobacteriaceae
Description: partial 23S ribosomal RNA
Rfam family: Bacterial large subunit ribosomal RNA
Source: RNAcentral